This 102-nucleotide ribosomal RNA is filed under the name Nannospalax galili (Upper Galilee mountains blind mole rat). Lineage: Eukaryota; Metazoa; Chordata; Mammalia; Rodentia; Spalacidae. The record is from RNAcentral.
GUCUAUGGCCAUACCACCCUGACUGCUUUCUGCUAUCAUCUGACCUAGAAGCUAAGCAUGGCCAGGCCUGGUUACUACUCGGAUAGGAGGCCAGUAUUGGCA